UUCCUCUCAGGUCUCAACUGGAGAGUUUCCAGUACUCUACCAUUCUCGAUUCUGGGAGGGAGAGUCAAGCAGAGGCCUAUCCAUUCCAUUCCUAGCUUGGCCAGAGGCUAGCAAAUGGAAGGCAAUCUGCUACAAGA
Small nucleolar RNA from Ornithorhynchus anatinus (platypus), 137 nucleotides. The record is from RefSeq and is a predicted model, not a curated record. NCBI's taxonomy places the organism in Eukaryota, Metazoa, Chordata, Mammalia, Monotremata, Ornithorhynchidae.